Molecule: ribosomal RNA, 479 nt
Filed under: uncultured bacterium
Lineage: Bacteria
Description: bacterial SSU rRNA
Rfam family: Bacterial small subunit ribosomal RNA
Source: RNAcentral
AUUGAACGCUGGCGGCAUGCCUAACACAUGCAAGUCGAACGGCAGCACAGCAGUAGCAAUACUGUGGGUGGCGAGUGGCGGACGGGUGAGGAAUACGUCGGAAUCUGCCCAGUCGUGGGGAUAACUAGCCGAAAGGUUAGCUAAUACCGCAUACGACCGAGAGGUGAAAGCGGGGGACCGCAAGGGCCUCGCGCGAUUGGAUGAGCCGACGUCGGAUUAGCUAGUUGGCGGGUAAAGGCCCACCAAGGCGACGAUCCGUAGCUGGUCUGAGAGGAUGAUCAGCCACACUGGAACUGAGACACGGUCCAGACUCCUACGGGAGGCAGCAGUGGGGAAUAUUGGACAAUGGGCGCAAGCCUGAUCCAGCAAUGCCGCGUGUGUGAAGAAGGCCUUCGGGUUGUAAAGCACUUUAUCAGGAACGAAAAGCGUUGGAUUAAUACUCUGACGUGCUGACGGUACCUGAGGAAUAAGCACCGGCU